GGCCAGUUGACGAGUCCCAAUUAGGACGAAACGCGCGUCUUGGAU
Schistosoma mattheei is the source of this 45-nucleotide non-coding RNA. The record is from Rfam. Lineage: Eukaryota; Metazoa; Platyhelminthes; Trematoda; Strigeidida; Schistosomatidae.